AUUCCAUGAUUUGGACAUUUUCUCAUUAGUUCUAUAAAUCUCUCCCAAGCUUCAUACAAGGAUUCACCAUCAAAUUGUGUGAAUGAGGUGAUAUUGUUCCUCAUCUU
Molecule: small nucleolar RNA, 107 nt
Organism: Theobroma cacao (cacao)
Lineage: Eukaryota; Viridiplantae; Streptophyta; Magnoliopsida; Malvales; Malvaceae
Rfam family: Plant small nucleolar RNA R71
About the family: R71 is a member of the C/D box family of snoRNAs containing the C (UGAUGA) and D (CUGA) box motifs. Multiple nearly identical copies of this snoRNA have been identified in Arabidopsis, and it is thought to function as a 2'-O-ribose methylation guide for 18S ribosomal RNA.
Source: Rfam